AAGUCGUAACAAGGUUUCCGUAGGUGAACCUGCGGAAGGAUCAUCAAUAAUGUAGACCGUUAUAAUGGUCUGAUCUUUAUAUUAUACUAGAAUUAGGAUAGUGGAAUAUUCUACUUGACUGAUGACCGAUUUUCAUGGUCUAAAUUUGACCGACCUUGAUUAGUGGUGGUGUAUAUUUCCACGGAUCAAUAUAGGGUGUUUAGGUCUUUAUUUAUAUUAAACUUGAUAGGCGACAUGCCAUUGAACAGGAUAACAGACCAGUUUAGGUGUAAUGCCUCUGGUGUAAAAAAAAAAAGAUUAAAACUUUCGGCAAUGGAUCUCUCGGCUCUCC
This 331-nucleotide unclassified non-coding RNA is filed under the name fungal sp. RNAcentral describes it as "partial internal transcribed spacer region". The stretch from base 1 to 46 matches the Rfam family "Eukaryotic small subunit ribosomal RNA", at positions 1786 to 1831 of the family's 1831-position model. The record is from RNAcentral. Lineage: Eukaryota; Fungi.